RNAcentral lists this ribosomal RNA (392 nucleotides) under uncultured Acaryochloris sp. Its description in RNAcentral is "bacterial SSU rRNA". It matches the Rfam family "Bacterial small subunit ribosomal RNA", at positions 355 to 762 of the family's 1533-position model. Lineage: Bacteria; Bacillati; Cyanobacteriota; Cyanophyceae; Acaryochloridales; Acaryochloridaceae. The record is from RNAcentral.
UGGGGAAUUUUCCGCAAUGGGCGAAAGCCUGACGGAGCAAUACCGCGUGCGGGAGGAAGGCCUUUGGGUCGUAAACCGCUUUUAACAGGGAAGAAGUUCUGACGGUACCUGUUGAAUAAGCCUCGGCUAACUCCGUGCCAGCAGCCGCGGUAAGACGGAGGAGGCAAGCGUUAUCCGGAAUUAUUGGGCGUAAAGCGUCCGCAGGUGGCCUUUCAAGUCUGCUGUUAAAGCCCAGGGCUCAACUCUGGAUCAGCAAUGGAAACUGAAAGGCUAGAGUACGGUAGGGGUAGAGGGAAUUCCCAGUGUAGCGGCGAAAUGCGUAGAUAUUGGGAAGAACACCAGUGGCGAAGGCGCUCUGCUGGGCCGUAACUGACACUCAUGGACGAAAGCUA